GAUGAACGCUGGCGGCGUGCUUAACACAUGCAAGUCGAACGGUGAACACGGAGCUUGCUCUGUGGGAUCAGUGGCGAACGGGUGAGUAACACGUGAGCAACCUGCCCCUGACUCUGGGAUAAGCGCUGGAAACGGCGUCUAAUACUGGAUAUGUUACGUGACCGCAUGGUCUGCGUUUGGAAAGAUUGUUCGGUUUGGGAUGGGCUCGCGGCCUUUAAGCUUGUUGGUGAGGUAUUGGCUCACCAAGGCGUCGAGGGGUAGCCGGCCUGAGGGGGGGACCGGCAACACUGGGAUUGAGAAACGGCCCAGACUCCUCCGGGAGGCAGCAGUGGGGAUUAUUGCACAAGGGGCGAAGGCCUGAUGCAGCAACGCCGGGGGGGGGAGGACGGCCUUCGGGUUGUAACCCUUUUUUGGCGGGGAAGAAGCGAAAGUGACGGUACCUGCAAAAAAAGCGCCGGCUAACUACGUG
RNAcentral lists this ribosomal RNA (469 nucleotides) under uncultured bacterium. Its description in RNAcentral is "partial 16S ribosomal RNA". It matches the Rfam family "Bacterial small subunit ribosomal RNA", at positions 28 to 507 of the family's 1533-position model. The record is from RNAcentral.